Molecule: long non-coding RNA, 285 nt
Filed under: Elaeis guineensis (African oil palm)
Lineage: Eukaryota; Viridiplantae; Streptophyta; Magnoliopsida; Arecales; Arecaceae
Description: long non-coding RNA (EGUI_LNC018060)
Source: RNAcentral
UAGCAUAAACCUGCUGCCUUCCUUUGUUCCCCUUAUUGCCUUCCAGCUCCUUGAGGUAAGUUUGUAAUUUUGGUAUAUUGGGGCUUGUGGACUUCUCCUUGGGUAACAAUUCUGGGAGCAUAGUACCUAGCAGGUUGUGAGGUUGCUGUUUUAUUAAUCUCUUUACUCUUACUCCACAUUACUGCCAAUGCUUGUUUAUGUAGCUUAGCCUGUUCAUACACUUCUUCGAAUGUGGUAGGAUGAGCUAAAUCAAUAAAGGGUACCAAUUCCUCUUUUAGUCCACUG